This 835-nucleotide ribosomal RNA is filed under the name uncultured bacterium. RNAcentral describes it as "bacterial SSU rRNA". It matches the Rfam family "Bacterial small subunit ribosomal RNA", at positions 461 to 1301 of the family's 1533-position model. The record is from RNAcentral.
GGACGAUAAUGACGGUACUUUAGGAGGAAGCUCCGGCUAACUACGUGCCAGCAGCCGCGGUAAUACGUAGGGGGCGAGCGUUGUCCGGAAUUACUGGGUGUAAAGGGAGCGUAGGCGGGACUGCAAGUCAGAUGUGAAAUGCCGGGGCUUAACCCCGGAGCUGCAUUUGAAACUGUGGUUCUUGAGUGAAGUAGAGGCAAGCGGAAUUCCUGGUGUAGCGGUGAAAUGCGUAGAUAUCAGGAGGAACACCGGUGGCGAAGGCGGCUUGCUGGGCUUUUACUGACGCUGAGGCUCGAAAGCGUGGGUAGCAAACAGGAUUAGAUACCCUGGUAGUCCACGCUGUAAACGAUGAUUACUAGGUGUGGGGGGACUGACCUCUUCCGUGCCGCAGUUAACACAAUAAGUAAUCCACCUGGGGAGUACGGCCGCAAGGUUGAAACUCAAAGGAAUUGACGGGGGCCCGCACAAGCAGUGGAGUAUGUGGUUUAAUUCGAAGCAACGCGAAGAACCUUACCAGGUCUUGACAUCGUAUGCAUAAUCUAGAGAUAGAUGAAACCUCUUCGGAGGCAUAUAGACAGGUGGUGCAUGGUUGUCGUCAGCUCGUGUCGUGAGAUGUUGGGUUAAGUCCCGCAACGAGCGCAACCCUUACCUUUAGUUGCUACGCAAGAGCACUCUAAAGGGACUGCCGUUGACAAAACGGAGGAAGGUGGGGAUGACGUCAAAUCAUCAUGCCCCUUAUGACCUGGGCUACACACGUACUACAAUGGCAAUCAACAAAGAGAAGCAAGACAGUGAUGUGGAGCGAAUCUCAAAAAAUUGUCCCAGUUCGCAUUGC